RNAcentral lists this ribosomal RNA (253 nucleotides) under uncultured bacterium. Its description in RNAcentral is "partial 16S ribosomal RNA". It matches the Rfam family "Bacterial small subunit ribosomal RNA", at positions 524 to 776 of the family's 1533-position model. The record is from RNAcentral.
UACAGAGGGGGCAAGCGUUAUUCGGAAUUAUUGGGCGUAAAGGGCGCGUAGGCGGCCUGGCAAGUGGAUGGUGAAAUCCCUCGGCUUAACCGAGGAACUGCCAUCCAGACUGCUUGGCUUGAGACCGGGAGAGGUGAGUGGAAUUCCCAGUGUAGCGGUGAAAUGCGUAGAUAUUGGGAGGAACACCAGUGGCGAAGGCGGCUAUCUGGACCGACAUUGACGCUGAGGCGCGAAAGCGUGGGGAGCAAACAGG